RNAcentral lists this ribosomal RNA (502 nucleotides) under uncultured bacterium. RNAcentral's name for it is "partial 16S ribosomal RNA". It matches the Rfam family "Bacterial small subunit ribosomal RNA", at positions 30 to 523 of the family's 1533-position model. The record is from RNAcentral.
AUUGAACGCUGGCGGCAUGCUUUACACAUGCAAGUCGAACGGCAGCAUGGGUGCUUGCACCUGAUGGCGAGUGGCGAACGGGUGAGUAAUAUAUCGGAACAUGUCCGGAAGUGGGGGAUAACGUAGCGAAAGUUACGCUAAUACCGCAUAUGCCCUGAGGGGGAAAGGAGGGGAUCGAAAGACCUUUCGCUUUCGGAGUGGCCGAUAUCAGAUUAGCUAGUUGGUGAGGUAAAGGCCCACCAAGGCGACGAUCUGUAGCGGGUCUGAGAGGAUGAUCCGCCACACUGGGACUGAGACACGGCCCAGACUCCUACGGGAGGCAGCAGUGGGGAAUUUUGGACAAUGGGGGCAACCCUGAUCCAGCCAUGCCGCGUGAGUGAAGAAGGCCUUCGGGUUGUAAAGCUCUUUCGGACAGAAAGAAAUCGUGCAGUCUAAUACACUGCAUGGAUGACGGUACUGUAAGAAGAAGCACCGGCUAACUACGUGCCAGCCGCCGCAGUAA